GGAGACAGGGUGGAGGCCUUGGUGAUGGGUUGGUGAGAGGGAUGGGAAGGAAGGAGAUAUUGAGGAGAAGUCCACCUGGGGUGACUGACUGAGGCCCCUGGGGUCAGGCCUUGCCAUGUGACGGGUGGAGUCCCCAGUGAAGGGGGUUCCUAUGAUCCUAAUUCUUCUCCCCUCCCCUCCGCUAGGGAGUGCCUGCAGGGCACCAUCCGCAACAGCCAGGAGGCGGAGGUCUCCUGCCCCUUCAUUGACAACACCUACUCCUGCUCGGGCAAGCUGCUGGAGAGGGAGAUCAAGGCGCUCCUGACCCCUGAGGAUUACCAGCGAUUUCUAGACCUGGGCAUCUCCAUUGCUGAAAACCGCAGUGCCUUCAGCUACCAUUGCAAGACCCCAGAUUGCAAGGGAUGGUGCUUCUUUGAGGAUGAUGUCAAUGAGUUCACCUGCCCUGUGUGUUUCCACGUCAACUGCCUGCUCUG
This 473-nucleotide small RNA is filed under the name Pongo abelii (Sumatran orangutan). Its description in RNAcentral is "retained intron". Lineage: Eukaryota; Metazoa; Chordata; Mammalia; Primates; Hominidae. The record is from RNAcentral.